Molecule: long non-coding RNA, 836 nt
Filed under: Coccomyxa subellipsoidea
Lineage: Eukaryota; Viridiplantae; Chlorophyta; Trebouxiophyceae; Coccomyxaceae
Description: long non-coding RNA (CSUB_LNC000048)
Source: RNAcentral
AGGAGUCAAGCGGCCGCCCAUCGCCUACUACAACGCAGCCACAGGUGGAGUUGUUGUCACCCCUCCAAAGUCCCUCUUCACCAGCUUCAGCAAGUCCCUCGACAAGGUCAUGCAGGUGCGGACCCCCCUCUGCUCCCUGUCAUCAUGUGUCACCGUCAUUCGUGCUUUGCCACCGCCUUCAGUGGACCCGGAAAUAAAUCAAUAGUGUAUAAUCUCGUGACAGUGUAGCUCGUGGAUGUAACAAUCUGGAUAGAGGGGCUCAUGGAUGUGACAAUCUGCACUUUGCUAGCAAGGGGUGUCCAGUCUGUCUGUUCUAAGGGGUGAGCAAGAUGCUGGGAGAAGGCAUGGCAUGCUCAGGGAUGACCUGACCGAGAGCAGCCUCUGCAGGUUGAUUCAUUAGUAAAGUAUAGGGAUUCUAUUACAGAUGAGUCCUGGACACUGUAGCGUGCUGGCAUGCCAAUACCAGGGAGAUGAUGACCAAGAAAAUGGGUGCUUGCUCAUGAGAUGGGCAUAUGGGCAGCGCACAGAUUACUGUCAGAGGAGCCUUAACUCUGAUCACCCUGUCUUUUGCUGCGCGCAGGGGUCGUCGGGAAACCCCUUCUUCGACUGCGUGACCAUGAACUCGGGGCUGCCCCCCUUCAAGAGCUUCGUGCAGGCGAAUGGAAACAACGCUCAGACACUGGCCAACCACUUUGUCUCAUACCUCAAGGGGGAUCUGAGCACUCAGGACGGCGGCCUGGCCGACAAAAUCACAUUCGAAAACCCGUUCGACCCCGACUCGAAGCCCAUCAACCUUAAGUUCAACGCCGAGCGGCCCUACUUCAACCUCCCCCAGG